AGAGCCAGCCAGAAGACUCCCAUUGACUAAUCCUUGACAAACCAUCUUCUGCAUCCAUACAGUUUUCCUGUGGGCCAAUCUUACACUUGUCCCUGGUUUCAUAUAUGAGUACUGACUGGAAGACACAUUUGAGGGCAAUGAUGCUGUCACGAAUGCAUGUGGCGGGCAGCAAGCUCAGAGAACCACAGCAGUGCUACUCAACUUGUCAUCCUGGACACAAAGAUCGUGUGUGAGUGAGCCAAAACCGUGUUUGUUUUUCCACAGAUUAAGAAGAAUCACGGUGUUCCUUCUAGUACAGUACUGACCUGCCUGGAGAGAGGGGGUGGUUUGAUGUAUGUUUUCCCCCUGGACGCAAAUAAUAUGGCAGAUGUAAUUGGUAACAUAUUGUGGACCUAGCAGAAGUGUAAUUUAUAGUUUUAUGGCUUUCAUUCCACGGUGUGCUUGAGCAAUCUCUCUUCGUAGAAAAUGAAAAGGGAAAAAAACGACUGACGCAGAACAAGGAGAGACGUUCUUCUUGCACUCUCCUCUAAAGAUAACACCAAAAGACUGAGGCAUAGCAAAUUAAAGUCAAGGAUGUGAA
Long non-coding RNA from Vidua chalybeata, 580 nucleotides. RefSeq lists it as uncharacterized. Lineage: Eukaryota; Metazoa; Chordata; Aves; Passeriformes; Viduidae. The record is from RefSeq and is a predicted model, not a curated record. The transcript is spliced from 2 exons.